CCGAGCUCAUGCGCGUGCACACGCGUCCGCGGCGAUGCCAGUACGGCACCUCGCCCCGCGCCUAUUUAAGGCCUCCCCGACCCCGUCUCUCUUCACCACCGGCCUCCCAUCCUCCUAUGAUCCUGCCUCGUCCCUUACCCGAGCCCCAGAGCUCCUCUUGCUCGUCCAUUGCCGCCGUGGCUGCCUCGGGCCUCCGGCUAAAUUCACUCGAGCCCGAGCCUCUCUCUUCAUUCCAUCACCACCAGAGAUCCACCCAGUCUCCGGCGAGCCUCCCCUGCCGUUUGCCCCUUCCUCCGGUGGCCUCUGGCCGUGACUCCAUCACUGGCCUGAGUUGCUGUCCGCCAUGGCCGAAGCCCUGCCCGUCUCGGUGCUCCUCGGCGUCCGUGUCUAGCCAGGACAGAGGUGGCGCUCUCUCCCGCGCUCGUCGGUGGUCGCUGCGUCCUGCGCGGUGGCCGGAGCUGUGAGAAUGGCCGCCGGCGCCGGCGACCCCGCCCCCUGUUCUGCGCCGCAUCGGGGAAGGAGGAGUGGGAGAGAAAGAUGUCAGCAGCGGGGCCCACCUGGCAGCGAGUCAGCACCAGUCCCGCCUCUACUGACUAGGAUAAGUGGAAGUGUAUUCCACUGGAAUACGUCUUCCGUUUCCGAAAGCGCAGUCUGCUCUUCUUCAGGCCAGAAUACGUUUUCCCUUUGGGAAACAGUAUUUUCAGAAAAGGCGUGUUCAGUUUUUCCGGUUGAGGGCCUGUUUGUGAAGAUUUUCUUACAUAUAGGUCCCUGGCAGAAAAACUAUCACAAAUUUUUGCCCGUAACUCCGAUUGAGCCCCCUCCGAGAGGAACGUUUUUCGGCGAUUCUUUCCGCGAGUUUCUCGCACUUCCUCCCAAUGAAUCCAUCCUUCCUAGGCAAGCCACACCCUCCAUUUGCCUGAUUGCAAUGCAGUGACAUGGUUUAAAUUAUUUGAACUUGUUUAAAAUAUUGUUUUAGCUACAUGUGAUCUGUUCAUGGCAUUUCUCGGAGUUGUUUUUGAUCUUGCUAGUGUCAUGAUAUUCUUUGGAGUUCUAAGUUUAAUAUUUUGCAUCUUAUGUGGAUGACAUGUUGCCUUUGGAUUAUUAGUGGCUAGAAUUAUUUUCAUCAUGAUGAUAGUUGCUAUUAUGUUUGGAGCAUGAUGUAGUAAAUGAUGCUUGCAUGUGGA
Long non-coding RNA from Aegilops tauschii subsp. strangulata, 1184 nucleotides. RefSeq lists it as uncharacterized. The record is from RefSeq and is a predicted model, not a curated record. NCBI's taxonomy places the organism in Eukaryota, Viridiplantae, Streptophyta, Magnoliopsida, Poales, Poaceae.